GUCCCUUUUGAGGUAUCUGAUAAAACUAGAACGAUACAAAAAAGAUUAACAUGACCCUGUACAAGAAUGACACGCGCAAAUUCAACAAUUCUCAUGUUUCU
Molecule: small nuclear RNA, 101 nt
Filed under: Solanum tuberosum (potato)
Lineage: Eukaryota; Viridiplantae; Streptophyta; Magnoliopsida; Solanales; Solanaceae
Source: RNAcentral